UGUUCUCCUGCGGCGCAGCUGCGUCCCGGACUGCACAACUCAUCUUUAGAAGCCCUAUUCGGCGCUGAAUGUUGGGCACUGGAUGCAACUUAACCAGCGGGGGGAGGGACCCCCAACACGUCAGCACCACACCGACGGGGAAGGGUGGAGGCCCACGGACACCAUGACGGGAACUCCGGAAGGUCAUUACGUGGGAUGGGCUGACAUUGGACUUACACCCGAACCAGCAUUAACUUCACAUCCAGCAGGUAUACAGAAUAACGAUGGUUUCACUGGGAACGAUUUCGGGGUCGGGGCCGCGGGUCCCCCUCGUCCACUUCCAGGGCCUCGGAGCCCUCCGCCCCCCCCAUGCGGUUUCUCACAGGGCCUCCCCGUGCCGUCCAAUACCCGCUCCACUCACAGCCCGACAUGACAGCACGUCUGAUGUCGUCAUGGCCGCAGCAGACAAUCCGCUGGUGUGUCUGCUGCUCGACAGUCUGACAGCUUCUCCCCUCUCGUCUCCACGGCGAUCACGGAGGCGAGCGGUGCUGAGGCGCGACGGGACGCCCCCCCCCCCCCGGCAGGACCAGCAAAAGGAAGGGCCCUCUGAAGCCCGGCCACGGUGCGGUGGUUUGUCUGAACGCGGAACCUGCUGGGAAAACUAACGCACCUGAACAAUCCGGAUGAGUGCACCGUUCUGACUGCAGAGGGAGGUGAUUCACACCUGUAGCCUGAUAACUGGACCAAAAUCUACUUUGUUUCACUGCAUUAUUCAGUCAGUCACCUUGCCGUCAUAACCGC
This is a long non-coding RNA of Gasterosteus aculeatus aculeatus (three-spined stickleback), 780 nucleotides long. The record is from Ensembl. NCBI's taxonomy places the organism in Eukaryota, Metazoa, Chordata, Actinopteri, Perciformes, Gasterosteidae.